CAGCAGCCGCGGUAAUACGUAGGUGGCAAGCGUUGUCCGGAAUUAUUGGGCGUAAAGCGCGCGCAGGUGGUUUAAUAAGUCUGAUGUGAAAGCCCACGGCUCAACCGUGGAGGGUCAUUGGAAACUGUUAAACUUGAGUGCAGGAGAGAAAAGUGGAAUUCCUAGUGUAGCGGUGAAAUGCGUAGAGAUUAGGAGGAACACCAGUGGCGAAGGCGGCUUUUUGGCCUGUAACUGACACUGAGGCGCGAAAGCGUGGGGAGCAAACAGGAUUAGAUACCCCCGUAGUCCCUGUCUCUUAUAA
RNAcentral lists this ribosomal RNA (301 nucleotides) under uncultured bacterium. RNAcentral's name for it is "partial 16S ribosomal RNA". It matches the Rfam family "Bacterial small subunit ribosomal RNA", at positions 509 to 809 of the family's 1533-position model. The record is from RNAcentral.